AACGAACGCUGGCGGCAGGCUUAACACAUGCAAGUCGAACGCCUGUAGCAAUACAGGAGUGGCAGACGGGUGAGUAACACGUGGGAACGUGCCCAAAGGUACGGAACAACUCCGGGAAACUGGAGCUAAUACCGUAUGUGCCCGAAAGGGGAAAGAUUUAUCGCCUUUGAAUCGGCCCGCGUCUGAUUAGCUAGUUGGUGGGGUAAUGGCCUACCAAGGCGACGAUCAGUAGCUGGUCUGAGAGGAUGGCCAGCCACACUGGGACUGAGACACGGCCCAGACUCCUACGGGAGGCAGCAGUGGGGAAUAUUGGACAAUGGGCGCAAGCCUGAUCCAGCCAUGCCGCGUGAGUGAUGAAGGCCUUAGGGUUGUAAAGCUCUUUCGCCAGGGACGAUAAUGACGGUACCUGGAUAAGAAGCCCCGGCUAACUUCGUGCCAGCAGCCGCGGUAA
This 451-nucleotide ribosomal RNA is filed under the name uncultured bacterium. Its description in RNAcentral is "partial 16S ribosomal RNA". It matches the Rfam family "Bacterial small subunit ribosomal RNA", at positions 29 to 523 of the family's 1533-position model. The record is from RNAcentral.